UCGGGAAUCUUGGGCAAUGGGGGCAACCCUGACCCAGCAACUCCGCGUGAGGGAUGAAGGCCCUCGGGUCGUAAACCUCUGUCGGGAGGGAAGAACGCGCCGUAGUCGAAUAGGCUGCGGUGUUGACGGUACCUCCAAAGGAAGCGCCGGCUAACUCCGUGCCAGCAGCCGCGGUAAUACGGAGGGCGCAAGCGUUGUUCGGAAUCAUUGGGCGUAAAGCGGGUGUAGGCGGCUUGGCAAGUCGGGUGUGAAAUCCCUGGGCCCAACCCAGGAACUGCACUCGAAACUGCCUCGCUAGAGUCCCGGAGAGGAAGGCGGAAUUCCCGGUGUAGAGGUGAAAUUCGUAGAUAUCGGGAGGAACACCAGUGGCGAAGGCGGCCUUCUGGACGGUGACUGACGCUCAGACCCGAAAGCGUGGGGAGCAAACAGGAUUAGAUACCCCCGUAGUCC
RNAcentral lists this ribosomal RNA (450 nucleotides) under uncultured prokaryote. Its description in RNAcentral is "bacterial SSU rRNA". It matches the Rfam family "Bacterial small subunit ribosomal RNA", at positions 355 to 796 of the family's 1533-position model. The record is from RNAcentral.